GGGGGGGGGGGGGGGGGGGAGGGGGAAGUGUUUAGAAAGUAUUUAGUGACCUAUUGUAACAAACAUCUUUAAAGAGACCACUAUUUUUAAUGUGCAUUAGAUUUCAGUGUGACUGAGUGCUGGCAUAGGCUGGAAGGACUGGGUCCUUGGCUAUCCAGUGAUAUCCAUCUGAAUAUCUUAUACAAGAAGGGAAGACUGUACUACCGUGUGUAUAUAUAUGUACAUAUAUAUGGGUAGGUUGGUGACGCACUGGAACAGGUUGCCCAAGGAGGCUGUGGAUGCCCCAUCCCUGGAGGCAUUCAUGGCCGGGCUGGAUGUGGCUCUGGGCAGCCUGGUCUGGUGGUUGGCGGCCCUGCACAUAGCAGGGGAGUUGAAACUCGAUGAUCAUUGUGGUCCUUUUCAACUCAGGCCAUUCUGUGAUUCUAUGAUUCUAUAUUGAGUGUAGUAUUUCAAAGCGUGUUCUUGUUAAUUUGUUCCUUUUACUGCACAAUCCUGUGUGCUAUUUCAUAUCUUUAGAAUUGUGGUAAUGUAAUGUACAUCUCCUGUGUCCUUGCAGCCCCAGGGGAACAUACUUUCCCCUCCAGACGAUCGGCUAACAGCUUAAUUGCCACAAUCAGGAGGAAAUAGCAGACUUGUUUCAGAUACACACUUCAGAUAACAAUAUACAGACUCCCUUGUGCAACAGUUACAAGGAAAGCAGCAGAUGUAAGAAAAUGAAGACACCCAAGAACAGUGUUUAAGCAAUAUCUUAGUAAGUUUCAGAUGUUCCUUCAUCAACGUGUGAUAUCAAUUACCUCCCGUGUCAUCCCUUCCUGUUUUCUUCACUAUUAAAAAUCCUUCUGAAUUUCCCUUCUAAAUCAGAGGGUUUCAUCCUUGAAAGCAGCUUCUACAACAGAGAUCAAGGCAACUUUCAGUGAGUCACAAGUCCUUAUGUGAGGGCACUCCUCCAGCAUCACUGCUUACGUCCCAGAGAGCUCAGUUCAGAGCAUUUUGAGAGGAGUGAUCAGAAAUAAUAAGUGGGAAAACAAACAAAAUGCAACAGACCUGAGGAGUUCACGUGCAUGUCUUUGGAACGAACAAAUACCUUUUCAAGAAACUAAGGGCAAGAUGUUCUUCCUUGAGCUUCCAAGAGCUUCUUUGCUUUCCCGUUCUGAUUCACAAGGAGGAGAUGAUCUCGACAGAAAAAAUAUGGUCUUUGGUAGAGUAUAUGGUUUUCUGACAUAAAAGGCUCCAGCAGAAGAACAUAUGUGGGAUAACAAAGCUCAGUAGAAACCAACUAUCUGAAAAAGAAGGUGAGUCGCUAUUAGAAUUCUAUAGCAGAAUGGUAACAAUUUUGGCAUGGGUUUACUAUGACACACAAUACAAGGAAAAAAAAGAUUUUUCUUGUUGUAUAAGAACACAGUAUAUCACAAGGUAGAUCUUUGCUAAAUUAGUUUUAAAAUAAUGUGAAGUAUGGUUCUUGUAAAGCAGUAGAAAUGCUGGCUUUUUUCAUACUUUGUUUUACGCUUACUGUCAAAUCUUACAGCAGUUUUUACAGGUUCUUUCCUCAAAGCUUGCAAGAAAUGUAGGAAUAUUCUGAAAGCACUGCAUCAGUGAAAAACUAUUUUUCUUCACUGCAUUAUAAGUUAAAUGCACGGUAGAUUUCGAAAGGAAAUGUGUAAAGUGAGGGCUACUGCUUACCAUUAUUCUUUAAGUUAAUGAAAACGGAUAUAAUCGAGUUACUUGUAUCACGUAGAUUAGUAAGUUUCUAUGAGAACCUCAAAUGAAUUCAAUCAGUAUUUAUGCACGUAUAUUCAAAGUCACUUAAGAUUGUUUUCUUUCCUCUCAUAGGGACAGCUGGGAAUCCUGCAUCUAAGAAAUGCUGCAAUCAGGAUCCAGCUUUUAUAGGCUCUCGGAAAAGGAGAGAUGCUCUGGUAUCCACCUUGGGCUGAGACUGAGAUUCCCAAAUUCUAACAUGUGUUGAAGCAAAGCUGUGUGUAGAUAAUUCCUGAGUAGCCAAGCAGAUUGUCCUGGCUGAUACUGAAAGCUGUUGGUACAGCAACUUCUACUACUGCUCCCUACAGUGACUGCAGUGGGUAGUGAGCAAGAUGGAUUUGGGAACCACCAAGCUGGAUGUGUUUAUUCAACUGCUGACUGAGGUAAUGUGUUCUUACUUUAGUUGAAGAAGAACAAGAGAACACUAAUGAGCAUGGAGAAUAUACAGAAGUUAAUGAAAGCAACAUAAAUAGGUGGUGGAAAAAGAUAAGCCCUGUUAGCUGGGUGAAAAGGGAACUAGAGACCAUGGCCUGAGCAUACAAAAUGUAUUUGGUGUUUUUUUUCCCCUGUUUUCCUGACAAAUACAGCAAGAACUAAAUGCUGAGGAGAAAAAGCACCAUAGAAACAAAUAGCUAGGGACAUCUUUGCUUAAUAUGAACUUCCAGUGGAAACUGAAAAGUGGAGCAGCUAGCAUUAACCAUUUUUUAACACAGCUAUUCAAAUCUUGUUGAAUUACACAACUUGUAUUGAAAUAAAUAGGAACUGCUGGUCCUGAGUUUUAUUACAAAUUAGGCCACUUGAGAAAUAGUUGCAUAACUGGUCUGAAAUAAGUAAUUGCUGUAAGUCUGUAAGUUUAGAUGUUGCUGAAGUUUAAGCGGGUGGCUUAGUCUUCAGUACUUUUUUGCUUUAUUAUUAUUCAAGUAUGCAUCAAAUUUCUGUAAUCACUUUCUCAAGGAGCCUUAGAAUUGUCUACUGACACAAGUGAUCUGAAACAAUACAUUUGAGUAAGUGGGAAGCACACCAUUAGCACAUCCCUUGGUCCGUAGCUUACAAAACAGUAGUUCAAACUUUAGGACAUCUAGUACCAAAACAAAAACAUCGUGAUCUAGCGGCUGAAUCAGUAUAAACUCAAGCUGCCAAUACAACAUUGUUCAAAUGGGUUGGUCAUUAAUUUGUGGGACAGGUAACUUCAAGCUGUCCGGCUUUCUGUGGUUCUGCUGUUGUGUGCCUGACUCGACCUUUCCUAGUUUGCCCAGAUUUCUUUUUAAUAGCUCAUUUUUGUCAUUCCCACUUUCUAUGCUCAGAUAUAUUGUUUAAGUUUUCAGAUUCCCUAUCCUCAUUCCUUUUUUCAUUGGAUACUCACAGAACAUUCACUCAACAGAUUUUAUCUUUGUCACAGAUCCUGACCUAUCCAAAUGCUCAGAAACUUGUGACCACCUCCUUUUUGUUGUUGUUUUUAAUCGUCUUUUUUUUCCUUUGGCCUCUGUAUGAGCUACAUGGCUGCAGUUGCCACAUCUUUAUGACGUGCUCUGUCUCUGUGGCUCUAAACAGAGGCUGUACCAUCUGCCUCCUUCUGGUCUGGCCUGAUACUUUCCUCUCUUUGGAACUGCCCAACUCAAUUUUGAAGAAGGAAAUGCAAAUGACUUGGACAUCAAUUCUGGUCAAAAACUGGUGGUAAACUAAAGCCAUGUGUGAAAAGUUGGCAUUUCUCUUUUCCCCAACUAAUUGUUAAUCAUGUGACAAAUUGGAGAUGGUGUAUCAGAGGGGAUAGGAUUUUAGCUCAGGAGAGUGAAGCUCUGUCUCUAGACAUUUCCCAUAACAGUGAGAUUUUCUGUCAGCUACAGCAGCCAUCACUUCUCUCUCCACAAAUUCAGUAUGCCCACGCAUGCCUUCUAUAGUAGCAACUCUGUCACCUUCUUGUCAUCCUAAGAAUGAGCAGACUUGACUCUAUCAGCAAGCAGCCUUGAUAGCCUAUCUGGAUACACUGUGCAUUUUUUCUGGCUGGAAGGCUAGCAAAUCACUUUUUAUGGGAACUUUGGAGUGGCAAGGAUAGUCUUUUGGGGCAUAUUUUCUUGCCCAAAGAGUAUUGGGUGAACUGCUAGGAACAAAAACUAUAUGCCUUAGCCAAAAGAAGAAAUUGCUCUUCAGAGGAUUGGAUACAUGGGGACAGGAAGAAAGAGAGAGAGAUGUGUUUAUCACAGAGAAAAGCUACCCAAUUGAGGAAAGUCUAGCAUGCUUCACUGUUUACCAUGAGCUCAGGGGACCAGAGAUCUUCUGAAGUGUGUAUCAUCUCCAGAAUUUCACUGGAUGCUUGCGUUCUCCAAACAAUCUCCAAUCUAACAAGCAAUGCUAUCAUGCAGUUGGUGAUACCCAGCCUCCAAAUAAUUGCAGAAGUCUGCUUCUCAGCUAAGUAACACUACUCAUGUCUGUUUCUACACUUCGUAUGUUCAGAAGAGAUCUCUGUCCUCUGUUCUGUUUCUUUCUAUUGUCAUUGCCCCCCAAGAAUAGCUUAAGACCAAAUUAAUGGUAAGGAGGCUAAAUGGACUUUGAUACUAAUGCAUUUCUAGUCACAGAUAAAUAUUAAAUGUUAAGAAGUCACAUGAGCUUGCUAUCCUGCAGCAGGGAAGAUGAUGUGGCCCAGAAGAAAGUCAGGUGGGUCAGUGCAGUCAUCCAAGCUGUGUGGUGGGGAAAUCCAGGCGUGAUGCCCUGGGAUCCCUACUUCUAACACUGAAGCACUUCUGCUACCUCACGUGGGCCUUCUGCUAGGUCCAAAAAUGCCAGACCUCAUCAGCAGUGCUCACAGCCUUCCCCUCCAGGAAGUUUUCCACACCAUGACAAAGGUGCAUUAGUUAAAAGGUCAGUUAUAGGGAAGUAACCAGAAGGUAAAUAAGUGUUUAAACAGUCCAAACUCUGUGCAGAUUUGGCCCCGAAGUGGCACAUUGGUCUUGGAAGAUGAAGAUGAAAAUGGCAACCUCAACUAAGUUUAUAUUGUUAGAUGAUCAAGCAACAGGUAGAUCUUUCUUAACUGUCACAGAACUAUGACCUGAAAUUCAGUUAGAGCCAAGUAUGAGUAUGUUGAUUACUAUCAUAGGGCACUGCCACAAUCCUACUCCAACAGUUGAUCACUUAUUUAGCAAAUGUUAAUGAAUCACAAUGAUAUUUUAAAAUGCUGUGGAAUAUGGAAAUUUUAUUGCAAAUGUUAAUAUUUGAAAUUAUAAUAUUUACUAUUAUAACUAUAUACAAAGCAAAAUGUAUAGUUUCAUCAAUGUCAACUUGCUGACAUAAGUUUUUAGAACAACACUACAAAUUACACUUUUUUUGUGUGUAGUAUGCAGAAAACAGCUGUGAUCACUUGUAUACUCACAUACAACCACUUACCUAAAUGUUCUCAGAGUGGGUAAGUGUACGUAGUUUCACAAACAGGCAAGUUUUAUGCCCUUUAAGUCUUGUGCCAAAAAAGCUGCAGAGAAAUAGAAGCUUUUAUUAAACACUAAGUAUAUUUUAAUAGAAGCAGCAAAUGGUUUGUAAUAGAAAUAUUUAUAGAUCAUACACAUGGCUGUCUUACAGCUAAAAUAAUUACUGCAGUUUAGACUUCAGUAGAAAGAAUGGAAAUUUGGGAAGGGAGAAAUCUGUGCAUUAGGUCAUUAUACACAAGGUAAUGUUUCAAUAAAUACUUUGCUUACUAAAAACAAAUACUGAAGCUAGUAGUAAAACUGGUUUAAGUUGACACUUGUUACAAAAAUCUGUAGGGUAACUUGUAUUCAUACUGUAGUCUCCACUGGAAAGAUGAGCAAGUCUCUGAUGAAUAGAAAGAGGAAUUUUCUGUUUAUCAUCUUAAGGGGAUUAUUAAUUUAAAAGGGCACUCAGUAUGUGUGAAGUAUUUCACAGAAACUUACAGGACAUGAUUGGGGUAGGGAGCAUCCAACAAAGAAAACCCACUGCUUUUGGAAUGUUACGGUGCUUAAAUUCAACUCAUGCUUACAUUUAAUUCUAUGUUUUAGCAAAAAUCACUUGAAACAUAAUGAACUGUCUUACUUUACAUCUGAAUUCCAUGGAGGCAGCUCCUUGUUGUUUCUUAAGAGCACCGUCACACAGUCCUACAUGGCUAAGAAUGCCUCCACAAAACAUACAUGCAGAUUCUGGAUAAAUCAACUAUAAACAAUAAGCCAAAGACGUGCUGAUGUACGUCCACAGUCAUACAGGUAUCACAGUAUAUGAUGAGAAUUAAAUGAAAAGCAACUUGGACAAAAUAAUUUCAAAUAUGACUGCAGGUAAUGCUUGGAGAAACUUCAGCCAUUCUAUCCUUUAUCUAUGCCAGCAUGGCACAUAGUCAGACGUGUUCAGUCUAUGCACUUUCAUAAAACCUACUGCCAAGAAGAAAGGAAUUCCCUCUGUCUUUCUGCAGUGCAUCUAGAACUGACUGUCUUCAAGAUAGAUUGCUAUCUACUACUUGGCUCAAGAUAAAUGAGUGCAAAAAAAAAAAAAAAAAAUCCACUUGCCAGGCUAAGAACAGUCUAUUUACUAAACAGCUGAAGCUAAUGAGAACAUAGAACAAGUCACGAGCCUUCAUGUACUAUUUCUGCUCUGUGUGUUAGUGGCUCUCCACCAAUGCAAAAAGCUUGGAGCAGAUAUACAUGCUGUUUUCUCUGGUCCCUCUGAUAUUCGCUUGUAGCUGCCCUUGUUCAUUAUACGUAAUUCAUUUUUACCUGACCCUACAUACAAAUUCAAGAGUUAGAAAAAGAAUAAUUCUUAUCAGCAAAUGCCAGUUUCUUCUUCUGGAAAAAAAAAAAAAAAACAAAACAAAAAACCGUUCUUUCUUAUCUUGCCCAAAGUAAGGAAGCUGCAGCCUACAGCUCCAAGGUUCAUGCAGCUACAGUAAAACUGGGCUGGAGUAGAUCACUUAACGUCCAUUGGAGGCAUAUGCUAUUAUUUUCUGUAACCCCUGUGCAGCAUUUAGAUUAGUUUAACACUUUUAGACACUGUGAGUGAAAUUGUGCUAAAUAAACAAGAUUUACGAGAAGUUCUUCUCAUCCUUCCCUUGAGGUAUAUUGGAACAUUACAGCUGCCUCUUCAGAGGGAGCUGUGUGGUUUCCAAUCUUUUCACUACUUUGGAAAAACAUUUUGUAAAAGGAAAGCCUUUGAAUUUUUACUAUUAGGUUUAAUUUUUUUAUCCUUUAGAUACCGGCUUGUCUACUAACUCUGAUGCAGUCUCACUGUGAAUCCCUCCUUUUGUGAUUUUUGCUUUGAAACGUUUUUUAAGCUUGUCAAAUUAGAUUUUGGGGGAGAUUUUUCACUCAGAGGGCGGUGAGGCCCUGGCACAGCUGCCCAGAGAAGCUGUGGUGCCCCAUCCCUGGAGGUGAUCAAGGCCAGGUUGGAUGGGCCCUGGGCAGCCUGAGCUGGUGGGUGGCAGCCCUGCUCACGGCAAAUACACGAGAAUGAGAUGAUGUGACCUUAGGGUGAGGCAGUGUUACACUGGCCAGAGGAAGAAGUUGACACAGCAAAAGCAACCAUAACAACAGGAAAGUGAAAGUUACAAGAGGUGAAUGCCUCGGGCUGAUGACUGCGGCCUAGAAGAGCACGGUGGUUUAAAAACACCCGCAUGGGUGAGCAGUACUCGGGGCAUCGAUGCCAGCCCUCACCGUUCUACCCGAGGGCGUUCAGCCCCCGCCGCUGAGGCACGGCCCUAUCCCG
RNAcentral lists this long non-coding RNA (7446 nucleotides) under Gallus gallus (chicken). Its description in RNAcentral is "lncRNA (ENSGALG00010002743.1)". The record is from RNAcentral. Lineage: Eukaryota; Metazoa; Chordata; Aves; Galliformes; Phasianidae.